UACGUAGGUGGCGAGCGUUGUCCGGAUUUACUGGGCGUAAAGGGCGUGCAGGCGGUUUGUUAAGUGCAGGGUGAAAGCUCCCGGCUCAACUGGGAGAGGUCCUUGCAUACUGGCAGACUUGAGGGAGGCAGAGGAAAGUGGAAUUCCCGGUGUAGUGGUGAUAUGCGUAGAUAUCGGGAGGAACACCUGUGGCGAAGGCGGCUUCCUGGGCCUUCCCUGACGCUGAGACGCGAAAGCGUGGGGAGCGAACCGG
This 253-nucleotide ribosomal RNA is filed under the name uncultured bacterium. RNAcentral describes it as "partial 16S ribosomal RNA". It matches the Rfam family "Bacterial small subunit ribosomal RNA", at positions 524 to 776 of the family's 1533-position model. The record is from RNAcentral.